Molecule: ribosomal RNA, 446 nt
Filed under: uncultured bacterium
Lineage: Bacteria
Description: bacterial SSU rRNA
Rfam family: Bacterial small subunit ribosomal RNA
Source: RNAcentral
GCCAGACUCCUACGGGAGGCAGCAGUGGGGAAUAUUGCACAAUGGGGAAACCCUGAUGCAGCGACGCCGCGUGAGUGAAGAAGUAUUUCGGUAUGUAAAGCUCUAUCAGCAGGGAAGAUAAUGACGGUACCUGAGUAAGAAGCCCCGGCUAACUACGUGCCAGCAGCCGCGGUAAUACGUAGGGGGCAAGCGUUAUCCGGAUUUACUGGGUGUAAAGGGAGCGUAGACGGCAUGGCAAGUCUGAAGUGAAAGCCCGGGGCUCAACCGCGGGACUGCUUUGGAAACUGUUAAGCUGGAGUGCAGGAGAGGUAAGUGGAAUUCCUAGUGUAGCGGUGAAAUGCGUAGAUAUUAGGAGGAACACCAGUGGCGAAGGCGGCUUACUGGACUGUAACUGACGUUGAGGCUCGAAAGCGUGGGGAGCAAACAGGAUUAGAUACCCCUGUAGU